Long non-coding RNA from Mesocricetus auratus (golden hamster), 1750 nucleotides. RefSeq lists it as uncharacterized. NCBI's taxonomy places the organism in Eukaryota, Metazoa, Chordata, Mammalia, Rodentia, Cricetidae. The transcript is spliced from 2 exons. The record is from RefSeq and is a predicted model, not a curated record.
GAAUUAUCCUCGUCUCCUAGUCCCGCCUAUCUUCCGGCCUCUACUGCCUAUUGGCCAAACAGCGUUUUAUCUAUCAACCAAUAAGGGAGACACAUACACAGAAGGACAUCCCCCAUCUGGGCAACGUUGGCAGAACUGCCUGCAAGGCGUGCAUGGAGCCCAGGAAGGCAGAUUUCCUGAGUCAUCACCCGCGCUGGGGUGAGCUGUUUGGUGAUGCGGUUGCCUUCGAGUCACCCACACUCCCCUGAGUAGCCCCACUAAGUUCACUGGUUCAUUAGAUUCGGGUUCAGCCGUUAGUUUAUUUGAUCUGUCGCGUAUGCCGUAUCUGGGAUGAAUGGACACCUGUUCAGGUCUCUCUAAGAAAAGCUACUCAUCGGCAGUGGUUAGACCACCUUGGGCUGUGACAGAGGCUAUUGCUUUGCCUCUGGGAAUCACCACACCACUCACUCGUCACAGCCUCCCUCCAGCGUCUCUGGCACUUGGUAUUUUCAGCUUUUUGAGCUUCGGACGUUUGCUUACAAGAGAGGAACGCUUUUUUGUUGUUGUUGUUCGUUUCAAUUUUUAUUUCUCCAGCAACUGGCAAGGGUAGGCCACUCGAUGUUUUAGAGUGACUCCUUGUAUUUCUGUGUGGGACGUUUAGCUUCCUUUCCUGCCGCUGUGAUAAAACACCCUGGCACGGGGGCUCGGGUGAGAGUGUGUUUGUAGCUCGCAGCUGUAGGCUGCAGUCCGUCAUGGGAGGGGAAGCCACGGCAGCUGUGGCUUGAAGCAGCUGUCACAUCGCAUCCCCGAUCAAGAGCAAAUAGCGGUGAGGUAAUUCACACCAUCUUGCUUUCUCCACCAUCAUGUGGUCCAGGGUCCCUGCCUAGGGAAUGGUGUCACCUACAGUGGACAAGUCUUCGCACCUCGGGUGACUAGGUCAAGACAGCCCCCCACAGACGUGCACAGGGGCCGGCCAACCUGAUCCAGACACUCCCUCACGGAGACCCCCUCCUCGGGGGAAUUCUAGAUUGCCUCCUGCUGGCGAUUGAAAGUAACCAUUCCAGCUGGAGGUGUUCACAUACCUGGACCUGCAUGCAGUGACUGUCAUCACCGAUAAGCACCUCGUCCUUCCAUUGGCGCCAUCGUGAUGUCUCCAGAAAAACAUUAGUCCCUAAUUGAGAGUGAGGCGGCGAUCGAUCAUGUUUCGUACAGACUGGGGUUUUUGUGUCUCACUUCAGAAGUCUCCCCUUAACCCAAGGUCAUAUGAAUUUCCCACUACAUUUACAUCUAAGACUUCUCUUAAAGUGCGUGAUUUUGGUGCAUCUAUGUCCUUUGUCCUUCCAAAACUGACAGGGAGAGGAUCUGACAUAGAAGUCUGAUACCAGAGACGAGGGUCUCUGGCUGUGUCGCUUGGCUGCAACACCAUUCCCGCCAGACUGCCAACACCGAACGGGGGGGGGGGCACACCAGCAUUCAUUCCUCUCUCCCCACGUCCUAGGCUGCUAAAACAUGUGCAGACAGCCCAGAGUCCCUCACACAGCAUACCUUCCCAGCCACGAGCAAGUCAGGGCUGAUAGCGGGUGACCCAGAAUGAACUGUCUCUCCCUCCGGUUGCUUCCCUUGAGCUAUUUGGUCACAGCAAUGGGAAAAGUACUAAAUGCCACACGUUUCUGGUCAUUCCGCCUCGACCCUGCAGGUGUCUGUGGGAAGCAGCCUCUUCUUGAGCUUAGUCUGGAUAAAAUGCUGGCAGGCUCCCCACCUGCUCUCCCCA